This 511-nucleotide ribosomal RNA is filed under the name uncultured bacterium. RNAcentral describes it as "bacterial SSU rRNA". It matches the Rfam family "Bacterial small subunit ribosomal RNA", at positions 34 to 518 of the family's 1533-position model. The record is from RNAcentral.
CGCUGGCGGCGUGCCUAAUACAUGCAAGUCGAACGGUCUUUCUAUGGAAGCUUGCUUCCACUGAGAAGAUAGUGGCGAACGGGUGAGUAACACGUGGGUAACCUGCCCAUAAGAGGGGGAUAACAUCCGGAAACGGGUGCUAAUACCGCAUAGUUUUCUUGAUCGCAUGAUCGGGAAAGGAAAGACGGCCUUUGUGCUGUCGCUUAUGGAUGGACCCGCGGCGUAUUAGUUAGUUGGUGAGGUAACGGCUCACCAAGACGAUGAUACGUAGCCGACCUGAGAGGGUGAUCGGCCACAUUGGGACUGAGACACGGCCCAAACUCCUACGGGAGGCAGCAGUAGGGAAUCUUCCGCAAUGGACGAAAGUCUGACGGAGCAACGCCACGUGAGUGAAAGAAGGUUUUCGGAUCGUAAAACUCUGUUGUCAGAGAAGAACAAGUUGGAGAGUAACUGCUCCAGCCUUGACGGUAUCUGACCAGAAAGCCACGGCUAACUACGUGCCAGCCGCCGC